RNAcentral lists this ribosomal RNA (199 nucleotides) under uncultured bacterium. RNAcentral's name for it is "partial 16S ribosomal RNA". It matches the Rfam family "Bacterial small subunit ribosomal RNA", at positions 1305 to 1500 of the family's 1533-position model. The record is from RNAcentral.
CUGCAACUCGACUGCACGAAGCUGGAAUCGCUGUAAUCGCGGAUCAGCACGCCGCGGUGAAUACGUUCCCGGGCCUUGUACACACCGCCCGUCACACCAUGGAAGUCUGCAAUGCCCGAAGCCGGUGGCCUAACCACUUAUGUGGAAGGAGCCGUCUAAGGCAGGGCAGAUGACUGGGGUGAAGUCGUAACAAGGUAUC